RNAcentral lists this ribosomal RNA (280 nucleotides) under uncultured bacterium. RNAcentral's name for it is "partial 16S ribosomal RNA". It matches the Rfam family "Bacterial small subunit ribosomal RNA", at positions 338 to 610 of the family's 1533-position model. The record is from RNAcentral.
CCUACGGGGGGCAGCAGUGGGGAAUAUUGCACAAUGGGCGCAAGCCUGAUGCAGCCAUGCCGCGUGUAUGAAGAAGGCCUUCGGGUUGUAAAGUACUUUCAGCGGGGAGGAAGGUGUUGUGGUUAAUAACCGCAGCAAUUGACGUUACCCGCAGAAGAAGCACCGGCUAACUCCGUGCCAGCAGCCGCGGUAAUACGGAGGGUGCAAGCGUUAAUCGGAAUUACUGGGCGUAAAGCGCACGCAGGCGGUCUGUCAAGUCGGAUGUGAAAUCCCCGGGCUC